AUGUUCAGUUUUCCUGCUGGACCGAAGCAGCCAUGAGUUGGUGGCCAAGGUGUUUGAUGGCGGUGUGGUGGAUGAUGAGAGCUACGAGAUCCGGAUUCCAGCCGAUCAGGGCAUCGCCGGCCACGUGGCCACCACCGGCAAGAUCCUGAACAUCAAAGACGCCUACUCUCACCCGCUCUUCUACCGCGGCGUGGAUGACAGCACUGGCUUUCGCACCAGGAACAUCCUCUGUUUCCCCAUCAAAGACGAGAACCAGGAGGUGAUUGGAGUGGCC
Molecule: non-coding RNA, 274 nt
Organism: Notechis scutatus (mainland tiger snake)
Lineage: Eukaryota; Metazoa; Chordata; Lepidosauria; Squamata; Elapidae
Source: RefSeq, a predicted model, not a curated record